ACCUUCUUAACAUUCUACGUGCGUACUUCACACUACUCUCAUAAUUACACCUAGAACCAUCUCUUACAAGUAAUGAGUAUGUUUAAAUAUAUUUGAGUCCUCAUACAAAAUAUCCUGCUCACUCUGCUCACUUGCUCACUUUGCUCACCGGUGAUCAUGGUGAGCACAGUGAACAGAAUGAGCAGUCACAUGACCUCAUAUUAGCAUCAGUUGUGAGUUGUUCCAUUCCUGCAUCCCUUCGGUUCUUAUCCAAUAAGCCCCGGUCCGUGCCGCAGGUUUAUAACACAAAGUAGUGAUACACAAAGUCAAUAAGAAAUCCACAAAGCAGUAAAAGCCAUAUAGCAGCAUUGUUAUCAAUAUUGCUGCAUCACAGCAGAUCAAUCUGAUGAUGAGCAAUGAGCUAAUACUAGACAGUGAGUACUGUAUGAUGAAGGUCUUUCAUAGAGAGAUAGUGGUAAUCAGAUGCUUUAGCUGUCAGCAAUAUGAACAUAUUGCAAAGUUCUAUCAUAAAAAACAGAUGUGUGGCUACUGUGAAAAGAAGAAUCACAAUAAUAAAAACUGUUCAGAAGUAAUGAAGAGAAACAAGUCUAAAUAUAUCAACUG
Molecule: small RNA, 603 nt
Filed under: Histoplasma ohiense
Lineage: Eukaryota; Fungi; Ascomycota; Eurotiomycetes; Onygenales; Ajellomycetaceae
Description: hypothetical lncRNA
Source: RNAcentral